RNAcentral lists this ribosomal RNA (492 nucleotides) under uncultured bacterium. RNAcentral's name for it is "partial 16S ribosomal RNA". It matches the Rfam family "Bacterial small subunit ribosomal RNA", at positions 30 to 507 of the family's 1533-position model. The record is from RNAcentral.
AUUGAACGCUGGCGGCAUGCUUUACACAUGCAAGUCGAACGGUAACAGGCCUUCUGGUGCUGACGAGUGGCGAACGGGUGAGUAAUGCAUCGGAACGUACCCAGAGGUGGGGGAUAACGCAGCGAAAGCUGUGCUAAUACCGCAUGUGAUCUGAGGAUGAAAGCGGGGGACCGAGCAGCAAUGUUUGGCCUCGCGCCUUUGGAGCGGCCGAUGUCGGAUUAGCUAGUUGGUGGGGUAAAGGCCUACCAAGGCGACGAUCCGUAGCUGGUCUGAGAGGACGACCAGCCACACUGGGACUGAGACACGGCCCAGACUCCUACGGGAGGCAGCAGUGGGGAAUUUUGGACAAUGGGCGCAAGCCUGAUCCAGCAAUGCCGCGUGCGGGAAGAAGGCCUUCGGGUUGUAAAACGCUUUUGGCAGGAACGAAACGGUGUCCGCUAAUACCGGGCGCUAAUGACGGUACCUGCAGAAUAAGCACCGGCUAACUACGUG